This 153-nucleotide microRNA precursor is filed under the name Amborella trichopoda. RNAcentral's name for it is "MIR8565 microRNA precursor family". It matches the Rfam family "MIR8565 microRNA precursor family". Lineage: Eukaryota; Viridiplantae; Streptophyta; Magnoliopsida; Amborellales; Amborellaceae. The record is from Rfam by way of RNAcentral.
CCCCCACCCAUGUGUGCAGGACCCCAAGGAUCACCAUUAAAGUUAGCACAGAUCUUUAGAAAAGUUAUUACAUGAGUGUGUGACUUGACUUUUCUAUAGAUAUGUGCCAAAUUUAAUGGUGAUCCUUUGGGGUCCUACACACAUGGGUGGGGG